This 211-nucleotide ribosomal RNA is filed under the name uncultured bacterium. RNAcentral's name for it is "partial 16S ribosomal RNA". It matches the Rfam family "Bacterial small subunit ribosomal RNA", at positions 28 to 238 of the family's 1533-position model. The record is from RNAcentral.
GACGAACGCUGGCGGCGUGCUUAACACAUGCAAGUCGAGCGGUAAGGCCCUUCGGGGUACGACGAGCGGCGAACGGGUGAGUAACACGUGGGUGGACCUGCCUCUAGCUCUGGGAUAAGCCUGGGAAACUAGGGUCGUAAUACCGGAUAUGACUCCACGGCGCAUGUUGUGGGGUGGAAAGCCUUGUGUGGCUAGAGAUGGGCCCGCGGCC